Molecule: ribosomal RNA, 236 nt
Filed under: uncultured bacterium
Lineage: Bacteria
Description: partial 16S ribosomal RNA
Rfam family: Bacterial small subunit ribosomal RNA
Source: RNAcentral
CGGCACGGGUGAGUAACACGUAUCCAACCUGCCGUCUACUCUUGGCCAGCCUUCUGAAAGGAAGAUUAAUCCAGGAUGGCAUCAUGAGUUCACAUGUCCGCAUGAUUAAAGGUAUUUUCCGGUAGACGAUGGGGAUGCGUUCCAUUAGAUAGUAGGCGGGGUAACGGCCCACCUAGUCAACGAUGGAUAGGGGUUCUGAGAGGAAGGUCCCCCACAUUGGACUGAGACACGGCCAA